GUGGGGAAUAUUGCACAAUGGGGGAAACCCUGAUGCAGCGACGCCGCGUGAAGGAUGAAGUAUUUCGGUAUGUAAACUUCUAUCAGCAGGGAAGAAAAUGACGGUACCUGACUAAGAAGCCCCGGCUAACUACGUGCCAGCAGCCGCGGUAAUACGUAGGGGGCAAGCGUUAUCCGGAUUUACUGGGUGUAAAGGGAGCGUAGACGGCUAUGCAAGUCUGGUGUGAAAACCCGGGGCUCAACCCCGGGACUGCAUUGGAAACUGUGUGGCUUGAGUGUCGGAGAGGUAAGUGGAAUUCCUAGUGUAGCGGUGAAAUUCGUAGAUAUUCGGAGGAACACCAGUGGCGAAGGCGGCUCACUGGCUCGAUACUGACGCUGAGGUGCGAAAGCGUGGGGAGCAAACAGGAUUAGAUACCCCUGUAGUCC
This 425-nucleotide ribosomal RNA is filed under the name uncultured bacterium. RNAcentral's name for it is "partial 16S ribosomal RNA". It matches the Rfam family "Bacterial small subunit ribosomal RNA", at positions 354 to 796 of the family's 1533-position model. The record is from RNAcentral.